Molecule: ribosomal RNA, 261 nt
Filed under: uncultured fungus
Lineage: Eukaryota; Fungi
Description: partial 18S ribosomal RNA
Rfam family: Eukaryotic small subunit ribosomal RNA
Source: RNAcentral
AAGCUCGUAGUUGAAUUUCGUCCUUAGUUUGUGAGGUUCAGCCUUCAUUGGUUGGUACCUUUACGAACUGGGCUCCACCUUCUGGGUUAGCUAGUUGUUACUUCGGUGCAGCUAGUGAACCAGAACUUUUACUUUGAAAAAUUGGAGUGUUUAAAGCAGGCUUUUAAGCUUGAACAUAUUAGCAUGGAAUAGUGAAAUAGGACUUUGGCCCUAUUUCGUUGGUUUAUAAAGCCAAAGUAAUGAUUAAUAGGGAUAGUUGGG